AACCUGAAUGUGUGUUAAGUGAUUGCAGCUGCAGUCAACUUGUGCUUUGCUAGAAGUGUUUAGAUAUAUGGAUGUAGAUGGAGAAAAUAGUAAGUCUUUAUGGGAAGCAAGUUCUAAAUGUUUUUACUUGGAUAUAAAUCUGUGUGCGUCUGACCUUAGUAAACAUGGAAGUAUGUUUGAGACAUAAUAGGUGGGGUUUUUUAUUGAUUUUUUUUAGUCUGGAUCAAUCAGUCCUUUUUCUUUUUAAGAUUGGUUUAGCCCUAAUGGGCUUUAAUGAGCAGUGACUUGACAGGAAAAAGGGUGGAGAGAUCAGAGGAAGACAUGCUUCAAAUGGCUUGAGACCAGGAAUCGAACCAGUUGAUGAUAUGCCGGGAAUGUGCUGAUUUUAUACAAUGUGGGUUCCACAAAUAAGCAGCUGCCUCUUUAAUGGUCAUUACUAGGUCAUUUUUCCUGUGCAAUUUUUCUUCACUUCAUUAUUAUAGACAGCGGUGUAAGUAAUCAAAACAUCCUUAAAUUUAACUUAUUGAACCUGUGAAAAAAUGAGACAAAUAAUCAUAGAAUGAAAAAAAUUAGGAGUGUUUCUAUACUGAUUGUCCAAAGAACUGCAGUAUCUCUUGUAACCAGUAGAGUGCAGUGUGAUAACGCACACACGAACCAAAGUCAGUUUGAAGUUGAGAGGUUAGAAAGAUGUGUGAAUAAUCAUGGAUUAUUUAUUCCUAAACCAGUUAGUUUUUGAUGUCCUAAUGGUUGGUUUCUUGAAGUCAUGUUUCAAAUAAGGAUAUGAAAUAAUUCUUCUUUUUCUAAUCCUACUUGUCAGUAGUUGUUUUCACAUAUAGUUAUGUUUUUUCUUUCAUUUUUAACUCAUCUAAAAAAAAAUUUUAAGUUAUGUCACCAUUCGUUUUUUUUCUCUGUUAACAGUGAGUUAAUUGGUCUGAGUACGAACUGCUCUGACAGCGACAGACUUUAUAGCAGAGCACCACAGGACUUGGCGGAUUAAGAGCCAUCUCACAAAGUCCCAUUAAGGCAUCGCUGCAGCAAAAUGUAGUGGUUAACAGGAUCUGUCUCAGGACUCGUAUGUAAAAUGACUCUGUUCACUUUGUGAAGUCCUUGAGCAUGUUAGCAUUUUAUGUGUAUUCUACUGUGUUUUCAGGCAGAGUACCCUCCGAUCCCUCAGCUGGAUUUCUCCUUGCUCACUUUAUUGAACUGGCUUUGUCGAUGUUUAGGUUUGGGAGGAGGGAGCAAGAAGUUAUUUUGGGAUUCAAUUAUUUUCCUGCUGAUUUACACAUUUGUUUCCGAGCUAAAAUCAAUUGUGGAUCUGUGUGUGACUUUGCGUAUUUAUGUCUCUUAGAGAUAAGCUUGCAUUUGUGUGGAGGGUGCAGAGAUGUUGGACCUUAAGGGCGAAGAGAAAUAUAAACACAACAGCAGAAAAAGACGGUACUGCCUGCAAGACAGACUGUCAUAAUGUCAUCUCUGCUGGAUAUAGUCAUAUUCAAUAAAUUAGAAUAUGCGUUCCAGUAGGUAUUAAACACACUUUUCAUUAAGCUCACAUUUCUGCACGGUUUUUAAUUGCUCUAAUACCGCCUACAUGUCAUGUUUUCAAUAGCUCAAAGUGGAAAAUCAUCAAAAUUAACAGCAACAAAAGCUUAAGUUUAUCAGUCUCUGAGUUAUUAAUAUACAAAAUGUGUUUCAAUUAGUGAACUGACUUACUGGAGUACAUAAACUUUUCAAUCAUAUUAAAAUUUGACGAUUGCUGAAUAUCUAGCAUAUGAAUAGAUAUCCUUUGUUACAUUAAAAAUGCAUAAGUCUUUCACGUGG
Molecule: long non-coding RNA, 1815 nt
Organism: Poecilia latipinna (sailfin molly)
Lineage: Eukaryota; Metazoa; Chordata; Actinopteri; Cyprinodontiformes; Poeciliidae
Exons: 2
Source: RefSeq, a predicted model, not a curated record